This 607-nucleotide ribosomal RNA is filed under the name Plateros sp. UPOL A00473. Its description in RNAcentral is "partial 16S ribosomal RNA". The stretch from base 381 to 539 matches the Rfam family "Bacterial large subunit ribosomal RNA", at positions 2473 to 2632 of the family's 2925-position model. The record is from RNAcentral. Lineage: Eukaryota; Metazoa; Arthropoda; Insecta; Coleoptera; Lycidae.
CAUGUCUUUUUGAUUAUGAUUUAAAGUCUAAUCUGCACAAUGAAAAUUUAAAUUGCCGCAGUAUUUUGACUGUGCAAAGGUAGCAUAAUAAUUAGUUUCUUGAUUAGGAACUGGUAUGAAUGAUUGGACAAGAAAAUUUCUGUUUCUUAUUAAUGUAUUUUUUAAUUUUAUUUUUAAGUUAAAAAGCUUAGAUGUAUAUAAAAGACGAGAAGACCCUAUAGAGUUUUAUAUUUAUUAAUAAUUAUGUAUUAGGAUUAAUUUUUUUUAUUAAGUAUUUUAUUGGGGUGAUAGAAAGAUUUAUAAAAUUCUUUAAAUUUUAAAUUGAUGAUUUUUAAUUUUUUUUAUCUAAAUUUUUUAAAUUUAAAAUUAAUUACCUUAGGGAUAACAGCGUAAUUUUUCUUUAAAGCUCUUAUUGAAAGGAAAUUUUGCGACCUCGAUGUUGGAUUAAAAUAAAUUUUUGGUGCAUCAACUUAAAAAUUAGGUCUGUUCGACCUUUAAAAUUUUACAUGAUCUGAGUUUAAAUCGGCGUAAGCCAGGUUGGAUUCUAUCUUUAGAUUUAUUAUAUAUUUUAGUACGAAAGGACCAAGUAUAUAUUAUAUAUUAAUUG